RNAcentral lists this ribosomal RNA (490 nucleotides) under uncultured bacterium. Its description in RNAcentral is "partial 16S ribosomal RNA". It matches the Rfam family "Bacterial small subunit ribosomal RNA", at positions 30 to 507 of the family's 1533-position model. The record is from RNAcentral.
AUUGAACGCUGGCGGCAGGCCUAACACAUGCAAGUCGAACGGUAACAGGGAUCAGCUUGCUGAUUCGCUGACGAGUGGCGGACGGGUGAGUAAUGUCUGGGAAACUGCCUGAUGGAGGGGGAUAACUACUGGAAACGGUAGCUAAUACCGCAUAACGUCGCAAGACCAAAGAGGGGGACCUUCGGGCCUCUUGCCAUCGGAUGUGCCCAGAUGGGAUUAGCUAGUAGGUGGGGUAACGGCUCACCUAGGCGACGAUCCCUAGCUGGUCUGAGAGGAUGACCGGCCACACUGGAACUGAGACACGGUCCAGACUCCUAAGGGAGGCAGCAGUGGGGAAUAUUGCACAAUGGGCGCAAGCCUGAUGCAGCCAGGCCGCGUGUAUGAAGAAGGCCUUCGGGUUGUAAAGUACUUUCAGCGGGGAGGAAGGGAGUAAAGUUAAUACCUUUGCUCAUUGACGGUACCCGCAGAAGAAGCACCGGCUAACUCCGUG